AAUGAAUGCUGUGACAGGUCUCAAGGGCCAUUCUCAGUGACAAUAAAGCCUGAAGCUACAGAAAAAAGCAGUUUGUUCAAGACAGACCCAGAUCUAACAUUUCUUUUGGAAGGAGCAAGCAGCAAGUUAAGAUCAAAAUGAGUGCUUUGAGAAGAGUGGAUUACUACUAUUACUACACAUUCCCCGCCAUGAUGGACAAUUUCACAAUAGUCCCAAGGAAAGCUGCCAGUCAUCCAUAUACUGAAACUUCCAAAACUGAACCAAAGAAUUAAGUUUGACUAAGAAUGACUGAAGGAUUCUUUGAUAUUGGAAAAUAUCUAAUAAAGCAUCAUACUCUGGUUAUUAACUACUGUAAUCAUGCAUUUGAGAACUGACAAAAUCUUCACCUGUGUAAGAAAAAAUAAAAUGAAACAAUAAAGCA
Molecule: long non-coding RNA, 421 nt
Organism: Heterocephalus glaber (naked mole-rat)
Lineage: Eukaryota; Metazoa; Chordata; Mammalia; Rodentia; Bathyergidae
Source: RefSeq, a predicted model, not a curated record